This is a long non-coding RNA of Gadus macrocephalus (Pacific cod), 839 nucleotides long. RefSeq lists it as uncharacterized. The transcript has 3 exons. The record is from RefSeq and is a predicted model, not a curated record. Lineage: Eukaryota; Metazoa; Chordata; Actinopteri; Gadiformes; Gadidae.
ACCGCCCCGGACCAUGGCCGGGCCGCCCCGGACCAUGGCCGGGCCGCCCCGGACCAAGGCCAGACCACCCCGGACCAGGGCCAGACCGCCCCGGACCAAGGCCAGACCGGCAAUGAACCUGAACCCCAACACCAGGGAGAAGGCUCAGGCCCUUUGGUGGCCUGGCUGCCUCCGACCGCAGACGGGCCCCCCAGGAAGGACCUGGCCCAGGUCGUGGGGAACCUGAAGGUCCGGGUGAAGGGGGUCAGGAAGCUGAGGGCGAAAACAGCAACCAUGGACCCAGGCCAGACCGCCCAGGACCCAAACCAGCUCCCCAAUGUGCCUGACAGCCCCCCCACAAAGGCCCUGGCCCAGGUCAUGGGGAACCUGAGGCUCCGGGUGAAGGGCUUCAAAAAGCUGAGGGUUCAACCAGCGACCACCUCCCGGCUUGAUGAGGAGAAGCCUUUGGGCCGCCCUUCAGGCCGGAGCCCCUUCCCUGGCCAGACCGCCCCGGACCAAGGCCAGACCGCCCCGGACCGAGGCCAGACCGCCCCGGACCGAGGCCAGACCGCCCCGGACCGAGGCCAGACCGCCCCGGACCGAGGCCAGACCGCCCCGGACCAAGGCCAGACCGCCCCGGACCAAGGCCAGACCGCCCCGGACCAAGGCCAGACCGCCCCGGACCCAAGCCAGAUCCCCGAGGAACCUGGUGAGUUCGCUGCAUUGUUGUUUUUACCUGCUUGUGUGUGUGUUUACCUGUGUGUGUCUACCUGCUUUUGUGUGUGUGUGUGUGUGUGUGUGUGUGUGUGUGUGUGUGUGUGUGUGUGUGUGUGUGUGUGUGUGUGUGUGUGUGUGUGUGC